Molecule: long non-coding RNA, 1080 nt
Organism: Poecilia latipinna (sailfin molly)
Lineage: Eukaryota; Metazoa; Chordata; Actinopteri; Cyprinodontiformes; Poeciliidae
Exons: 2
Source: RefSeq, a predicted model, not a curated record
AGUGGAACUAGUACUCAUCAAAAGAUGAGGCGGUUUUAUGCGUCAUAGUCCCUGUUCACAAUCAGCCAUGAUUUAAAUGAGUUCAUGUUUUCAUGGAGUUUGAUCCAGAGUUUUAUCAUCCAAAAAAUAGUGGCACGCGUUUGUUUGUUCACCGGAAGAACGUCAUCGCGACUUUGUUUACACAAUUUUCUACAUUAUUUGAACUAAAUUAUGACAAUUAUUAUAACAUUGUCUAAAACAGAUUCCCUCCUACAGCAAGUAGUAUUUUAAUUAAAAUAAUUAAAUAUAUUGUUAUUUUAUAUAUAUUUUAAGAAUAAUCCGAAAGUAUUCUUCAGCGCAUGCGCAUUCGAGUUGCUUAUGUGGCUCGUACUUCCGGUUUACACGUUUCACGAGUAGCAUCUUGUUGUUGGUAUCUGACGCUGAUGACCACUUCCAGGAGAAAGUAAGGCAUCACCAGGGUUUCUGCCGAUGGUGGUUGGCAUGCCAACCACAGCGGAGGCCCGUCGACGGCUGCUGCAGGACUGCUGCUCUGUGUUUGACCACCAGAACUUUUUCUCUGUCCUGGAUUCUCUGCUGGAUUGUUUUCAUCUCACUUGGAGCUUUUACUGCCUCUCAGUUAUUUCUGCUGCAGCUGAUGGUUUCUCACAGUAAGAGACCAGGCAGACCCAACAGGACUUGCUGGCUUACAGUUUUCCUCCAGUGCAGAAAUCACAGGCCACAUCUUCAGGUCCAGCAUAGCGGUGAUCAGCAGGAGCAGCUUGGAGUCCAGUCUGCUUCAUCUGCUCCACUAAAGCUGCAAGCAUGGUGUUUUUCUUCAAAACUGGCAUUGGUAUGAACGUCUCUCUGCACUGAGGGCAGCUGUGGAUUCUCCUCUUCAUCCCAGUGGAUUUUUGACAAUUAUACACCUUGAACUUUAACCAAUCUGAGGGAUUUUGAGCUUAUUUGGCUUAAUCUUUGGUGAAUAUGCAUCUUGGGCCAAUACUCGCCAAAGCCAUCGAAAUACUAUAACUUUCACAUAGACGGACCGAUUUGCACCAAACUUGGCAUGUGCAAUCUGUGUUAAAUUACUCAUGAAAGCUC